Molecule: ribosomal RNA, 253 nt
Filed under: uncultured bacterium
Lineage: Bacteria
Description: partial 16S ribosomal RNA
Rfam family: Bacterial small subunit ribosomal RNA
Source: RNAcentral
UACGGAGGGGGCAAACGUUGUUCGGAUUUAUUGGGUGUAAAGGGUAUGUAGGCGGGCUUGUAAGUCGGAUGUGAAAUACUAUAGCUUAACUAUAGAACUGCAUUCGAAACUGCUUGUCUUGAGUUUGGGAGAGGAGAGUGGAAUUCUCGGUGUAAGGGUGAAAUCUGUAGAUAUCGAGAGGAACACCAGUGGCGAAAGCGACUCUCUGGACCAAAACUGACGCUGAAAUACGAAAGCUAGGGGAGCAAACAGG